Molecule: unclassified non-coding RNA, 295 nt
Filed under: uncultured bacterium
Lineage: Bacteria
Description: partial contains 16S ribosomal RNA and 16S-23S ribosomal RNA intergenic spacer region
Rfam family: Bacterial small subunit ribosomal RNA
Source: RNAcentral
UANNGAUGNAAGUNGAGCGAUGAAGCUCCUUCGGGAGUGGAUUAGCUUCUGACGGGUGAGUAAGAGAGAAAGUAACCUACCUGUAAGACUGGGAUAACUCCGGGAAACCGGUGCUAAUACCAGAUAGUUUCUUUUCUCGCAUGAGUGAAGAAGGAAAGAUGGCUCCGGCUAUUACUUACGGAUGGACCCGCGGCGCAUUAGCUAGUUGGUGAGGUAAUGGCUCACCAAGGCAACGAUGCGUAGCCGACCUGAGAGGGUGAUCGGCCACACUGGGACUGAGACACGGCCCAGACUC